RNAcentral lists this small RNA (547 nucleotides) under Pongo abelii (Sumatran orangutan). RNAcentral's name for it is "processed transcript". The record is from RNAcentral. Lineage: Eukaryota; Metazoa; Chordata; Mammalia; Primates; Hominidae.
ACACACCACCCACACACACCACCACGCCCUGUCCCCUUUCUCCACCCUGCAAGCUAGUUGCAUUUACCUCACAGAGCCUGGGCUGCGACUUGAAAGACUUUAGGCAGCAACAGAGUGACCCUGGGGGUGCUCUUGACCGACAGCCGCACCUCCGGCGUCUAGGACCUCCGAGCAGGGAUGCAUCUGGGGGUCUAGGGAAGCACUUCCACCCCCUCCUCUCCUCAACCCUGGCAGGAUGUGCCCGAAAUGCCAGCUCCUCCUUGGUGUUCUCCUUUCAAGAUUUGAAUUCAAAUCCCAUAUUGGCAGCCCUGAUACCGCUGGGGGAAGGGUGAGGCUACCGCUGCUUCAAGACAGUGACGUUUCUCUCCGGUCAGCUGUCAGGAGCGCUGAUGAGCUUCCUACUGUGCCACAAGCUGGGUCUUACUGGGGAUCUGGCCAGCCUUGGGGACCCUUGGGGCCCUGGCCCAGUGGAAGCUUGUGCCUGAGGAACAUGGAGGCCACGCCAAUGACGGAGUCUCACUCUGUCACCCAGGCUGGAGUACAGUGA